RNAcentral lists this unclassified non-coding RNA (263 nucleotides) under fungal sp. Its description in RNAcentral is "partial internal transcribed spacer region". The stretch from base 1 to 65 matches the Rfam family "Eukaryotic small subunit ribosomal RNA", at positions 1767 to 1831 of the family's 1831-position model. Lineage: Eukaryota; Fungi. The record is from RNAcentral.
CUUGGUCAUGAGGAAGUAAAAGUCGUAACAAGGUUUCCGUAGGUGAACCUGCGGAAGGAUCAUUACCGAGUUCCUGCCCUCUGGGUAGAUCUCCCACCCUUGCUUAUUAUACCUUUGUUGCUUUGGCAGGCCGCCUCUCUGAGCCACUGGCGCCCCUGGGGGCUUGUGCGCGCCUGCCAGAGAACCACCAACUCUGUAUCAUAGUUGUCGUCUGAGUCUGAUAUAAAUAUCUAAAACUUUCAACAACGGAUCUCUUGGUUCUG